UUGCUUGUGACUUUUUAUCCUUUCGAAUGAGUUUUUUAAUGUAAAAUAUUUGUGUUUGAUAUUUUCAAAUUUAUUUGUUAUUUUACUUAUUCAUUGCUUAACCAGGUUUAUCCUAAAAAACUGAUAUCAGAGCUAGUUUGAUUUUUGCAAUCAACCCAUUCAAAUAUGGUAGCAUCAAGGUUUGAUGUUUAAUAGUUUGAUGGCAUCGCAAAAUUCAAUCUAUGGCAAGGUCGGAUGAUGACAAUUCUGAUUCAGAAUGAUUCUGAGUAGGUCCUUACAGAGAAGAAGCCUACAAACAUGGAUAAAUUAGAAUGAGAUAGGUUAGAUAAAAAAGCUCUAUCCACAGUUCAAUUAUGUCUAACAAAUAAUACGUUGCAGGAGGUUUUGAUGGAGAAAACGAAAUUCACCUGGUGGAAAGGGUUAGAAACCCUCUACGUAACAAAGUCUUUGGCUAACCAGUUGGUAUUAAAACGUCGUCUAUAUACAUUCUACAUGGACAAAAGUGAGCACCUUAGAGGUCAGAUUAGUCAAUUUAUCACUCUUUUGAAUGGUAUAAAAAAUGUUGAGGUUUAGAUUAAUGAUGAAGAUCAAACUAUGUUAUUAUUGUGCUAUUUACCCUCUUCAUACAAGUCUUUCAGAGAGACAUUGAUUUAUGACGGAGAUAAUCUA
Molecule: long non-coding RNA, 669 nt
Filed under: Gossypium barbadense (sea-island cotton)
Lineage: Eukaryota; Viridiplantae; Streptophyta; Magnoliopsida; Malvales; Malvaceae
Description: long non-coding RNA (GBAR_LNC002092)
Source: RNAcentral